UAAGUUAAUAAGGGCGCACGGUGGAUGCCUUGGCACUAGAAGCCGAUGAAGGACGUGACUAACGACGAAAUGCUUUGGGGAGUUGUAAGUAAACAUUGAUCCAGAGAUGUCCGAAUGGGGGAACCCGGCAUGUAAUGCAUGUCACUCAUUACUGUUAAGGUAAUGAAGAGGAAGACGCAGUGAACUGAAACAUCUAAGUAGCUGCAGGAAGAGAAAGCAAACGCGAUUGCCUUAGUAGCGGCGAGCGAAAUGGCAAGAGGGCAAACCGAUGUGUUUACACAUCGGGGUUGUAGGACUGCGACGUGGGACGACAAGAUUAUAGAAGAAUUACCUGGGAAGGUAAGCCAAAGAGAGUAACAGCCUCGUAUUCGAAAUAGUCUUUAACCCUAGCAGUAUCCUGAGUACGGCGAGACACGAGAAAUCUCGUCGGAAUCUGGGAGGACCAUCUCCUAACCCUAAAUACUCUCUAGUGACCGAUAGUGAACCAGUACCGUGAGGGAAAGGUGAAAAGCACCCCGGGAGGGGAGUGAAAUAGAACCUGAAACCGUGUGCCUACAACAAGUUCGAGCCCGUUAAUGGGUGAGAGCGUGCCUUUUGUAGAAUGAACCGGCGAGUUACGAUAUGAUGCGAG
This 631-nucleotide ribosomal RNA is filed under the name Streptococcus equinus JB1. RNAcentral describes it as "bacterial LSU rRNA". It matches the Rfam family "Bacterial large subunit ribosomal RNA", at positions 4 to 644 of the family's 2925-position model. Lineage: Bacteria; Bacillati; Bacillota; Bacilli; Lactobacillales; Streptococcaceae. The record is from RNAcentral.